Non-coding RNA from Nicotiana tabacum (common tobacco), 1350 nucleotides. The record is from RefSeq and is a predicted model, not a curated record. NCBI's taxonomy places the organism in Eukaryota, Viridiplantae, Streptophyta, Magnoliopsida, Solanales, Solanaceae.
UUCAUAAAUUCUUUUGAUUAUCAGUAACCCGAGCUCUUCUAAAUUAAAUCUUUGACCAAAAUCCCAUUUUUUGGUUAAACACUAUCAUUUCUGCUUCUUUCUGCGGUGUGUUUAGUGUAGAGAAUCAUCGCUUUAUACUUGUCAGCAACUUCGUUGAAUUUAUUAGCUGCUCAUGUAGUUUAUUGGUACUCUCUGAUUUUGGUUUCUAGCCUCCUUUCCCAUUGGUAAAUAGAUACUGUUGAAAAAAUGAACUUUGUUUUGGAAGAAGAAAAGACUUUGGUUUUUGUGAUACAAGGAUUAUCUUAGUUCAUGUAUUAGGAAAUUAUUUUAAUGAUACAUGUAUUGUUUUGUUCAUGAACUAGGGAGGAGGAAAAACUUUAGUAGUAUUAAUUAAGGUACACGUGGAGUUGAGAGCUAGCUCACUUGGUGAACUCUUUGCCUUCUGCAGUUGAGGUAGAGGGUUCAAACCCCAUCAGUAAAGUAGCAUGCCCUUCCCCUUCCCCCCUCCUUCCUCCCCUGAUGUAAUUAUUUUUUUUUAUUUAUAAAAAAGGGUACAUGUAGUAGACUAGGUACUUGUUAGGAAAAAAACUCAUAAAUACCUAUGUAGUUUAACCAUUUUAUGUAAGCAAGUAGAGUGAAGUAAAGAAGAAUCAUUUCCUCACUUGUCUAAAAAGAAAAUUUGAGAGAUUGAGAGUUUUCUCCUCCCCGAAUUUCCAAAGAUACAUCCUCAUUCACAAUGAAUAUCCUUAUACUAGCAUGACUGAAUGUCUGAUGGUUUCAACCGAGGCAUCAAAUCCUCUCUCGCUCAGUGAUCCUUUGCUUGACAAUAUGUUGCAUUUCAGGUAUCGUCAUUUAGGGUCAUUUGCCCCUUUAGGUGGGGAGCAAGCAGCAGCAGAACUUCCUGGAGACUGGGUUUCUAUGGGCCAUAGCACACAGUGGCUAUGGUACUCCGUGUACGCUAGCAAGCAAGUUAGCUGGCGCACGAGGUAUUUAGUGGUUGCUGAUUGGGCAAGAAGAUACAUUCUCGGGAGAGAUUCAAGCCGAAUUUGAUGUGCUCAACCCCAUUUAGAAGGUGGUGCUUGUUUUCUACUGUUUUGCUGGCAUGCUUCGUGGCUUUUUAAUGUUUAUGACACUAUCCGGUUACAGCAGUUCAAGCCGGACAUCAGUUUAUGUUGUUUAAGAAUGUACAUAUCACUUGCGUAUGAAUCACAUUCGAUCAGUUCCUGGAGAAAUACACUGAAUGUUGCAGAUUUGAUUGUAUAAACUUGUUGUUCUAGUUUGUAAUUGAUUGAGAUUUGAGGCUCCAAUAUUGUUUUAAAGCAGAACAUAACAUGCUAGACAUUGAGAUCA